GACGAACGCUGGCGGCGUGGAUUAGGCAUGCAAGUCGAACGGUAUCAUCCUUUCGGGGGUGAGAGAGUGGCGAACUGGUGAGUAACACGUAGGUUAUCUACCCUCAAGACGGGGACAACCCAGGGAAACUUGGGCUAAUACCGGAUGUGAGCAACUUUUAGUUGUUUGAAAGGUGGCGUAAGCUGUCGCUUGGGGAUGAGCCUGCGUCCUAUUAGUUAGUUGGUGAGGUAACGGCUCACCUAGGCAAUGAUAGGUAGGCGGCCUUAACGGGUGGUCGCCCACACCUGGGAUUGAGAUACGGCCCAGACUCCUACGGGAGGCAGCAGUCGAGAAUAGUCUACAAUGGUCGGAAGACUGAUAGUGCGACGCCGCGUGAACGAUGAAUCCCUUCGGGGUGUAAAGUUCUUUUAUAUGUGAGCAGUGCUUCUUAUAUUAACAGUAUGGGGAGAGAGAUAUUAGCAUAUGAAUAAGCAACGGCUAACUCCGUGCCAGCAGCCGCGGUAAACUCG
This 509-nucleotide ribosomal RNA is filed under the name uncultured bacterium. RNAcentral's name for it is "bacterial SSU rRNA". It matches the Rfam family "Bacterial small subunit ribosomal RNA", at positions 28 to 527 of the family's 1533-position model. The record is from RNAcentral.